Molecule: ribosomal RNA, 253 nt
Filed under: uncultured Eubacteriales bacterium
Lineage: Bacteria; Bacillati; Bacillota; Clostridia; Eubacteriales
Description: uncultured Clostridiales bacterium partial 16S ribosomal RNA
Rfam family: Bacterial small subunit ribosomal RNA
Source: RNAcentral
UACGUAGGGGGCAAGCGUUAUCCGGAUUUACUGGGUGUAAAGGGAGCGUAGGUGGCAAGGCAAGUCAGAUGUGAAAACCCGGGGCCCAACCCCGGGAGUGCAUUUGAAACUGUCUGGCUAGAGUGCAGGAGAGGUAAGUGGAAUUCCUAGUGUAGCGGUGGAAUGCGUAGAUAUUAGGAGGAACAUCAGUGGCGAAGGCGACUUUCUGGACUGUAACUGACGCUGAGGCACGAAAGUGUGGGGAGCAAACAGG